RNAcentral lists this ribosomal RNA (228 nucleotides) under Clostridioides difficile. RNAcentral describes it as "partial 23S ribosomal RNA". It matches the Rfam family "Bacterial large subunit ribosomal RNA", at positions 353 to 583 of the family's 2925-position model. Lineage: Bacteria; Bacillati; Bacillota; Clostridia; Peptostreptococcales; Peptostreptococcaceae. The record is from RNAcentral.
CACCACAGAAGGUAAUAGUCCUGUAUGUUAAACGAGAAGACUUUAGAUAUGAUCCAGAGUACCACGGGACACGUGAAACCCUGUGGGAAGCAGGAGGGACCACCCUCCAAGGCUAAAUACUACCUAGGGACCGAUAGCGUAUAGUACCGUGAGGGAAAGGUGAAAAGAACCCCGGGAGGGGAGGGAAAUAGAACCUGAAACCCUGCACUUACAAGCUGUGGAAGCACA